RNAcentral lists this ribosomal RNA (404 nucleotides) under Verrucomicrobiota bacterium. Its description in RNAcentral is "Verrucomicrobia bacterium partial 16S ribosomal RNA". It matches the Rfam family "Bacterial small subunit ribosomal RNA", at positions 355 to 776 of the family's 1533-position model. The record is from RNAcentral. Lineage: Bacteria; Pseudomonadati; Verrucomicrobiota.
UGGGGAAUAUUGCACAAUGGGGGAAACCCUGAUGCAGCGACGCCGCGUGAGCGAUGAAGGCUUUCGAGUCGUAAAGCUCUGUCCUAUGGGAAGAUAAUGACGGUACCAUAGAAGAAAGCCCCGGCUAAUUACGUGCCAGCAGCCGCGGUAAUACGUAAGGGGCGAGCGUUGUCCGGAAUUAUUGGGCGUAAAGAGUGGGUAGGCGGCAAAUUAAGUCAGAUGUGAAAACUAAGGGCUCAACCCAUAGAUUGCAUCUGAAACUGAUAUGCUUGAGUCAAGGAGAGGAAAGUGGAAUUCCUAGUGUAGCGGUGGAAUGCGUAGAUAUUAGGAGGAAUACCGGUGGCGAAGGCGACUUUCUGGACUUGAACUGACGCUGAGGCACGAAAGCGUGGGGAGCAAACAGG